RNAcentral lists this ribosomal RNA (507 nucleotides) under Brocchinia clenchi. Its description in RNAcentral is "partial 16S ribosomal RNA". It matches the Rfam family "Bacterial large subunit ribosomal RNA", at positions 1817 to 2600 of the family's 2925-position model. The record is from RNAcentral. Lineage: Eukaryota; Metazoa; Mollusca; Gastropoda; Neogastropoda; Cancellariidae.
GGCUUCUUGCAACUACACGAGUUAGAGUCGAGCCUGCCCGGUGAUUUAUUUAACGGCCGCAGUACCCUGACUGUGCGAAGGUAGCAUAAUAGUUUGCCCUAUAAUUGAGGGCUUGUAUGAAUGGUUUGACAAGAACAAAGCUGUCUCUUUGUAAUUUAGUAAAAUUUUAUUUUCAGGUGAAGAAGCCUGAGUAUAAUUAAAAGACGAGAAGACCCUAUCGAGCUUAAAGGUAGUUAGUAAAUUAAAUAAUAUUAAUAGAAUAAUUAAAAUUGUUAAGUAUUUUAGUUGGGGCGACUAUGGAACAGGUAAAGCUUCCUAAAUUAAAAUAACUGACUUGUAAGGAUCCAUUGUUUGUGACAAAAGGAAAAGUUACCGUAGGGAUAACAGCAUAAUCUUCUUUAAGAGUUCGAAUUGAAAAGAAGGUUUGUGACCUCGAUGUUGGACCAAAAUAUCCUAAAGAUGCAGCAGUCUUUAAGGGUUGGUCUGUUCGACCAUUAAAAUUUUACG